This 3975-nucleotide long non-coding RNA is filed under the name Notechis scutatus (mainland tiger snake). RNAcentral's name for it is "lncRNA (ENSNSUG00000011980.1)". The record is from RNAcentral. Lineage: Eukaryota; Metazoa; Chordata; Lepidosauria; Squamata; Elapidae.
CUCCUUCAGUUGUCUGCAAUAAUGGUGCACUAUUUUUUCUUUCCUAGACUUAGAAGACAACUCUAAACCUGCUUCCACCCUCAGUGAUCCCUCUGCAAGUGACUCUGAGUGUCAGAAUGAACCUACUUCAAUUGCUGUAGUCCCUCCUGAAGUAAACUUGUUUCAUACCAACCAGUCUUAUCCAAAUACCAUGUCCUCAAACUUACAUGAGUCCCACAAUACUUUAUCAGUCAAAGCCAAGAGUUCUUCUUUUUCUUCUAUUCCGUCACAGCAGCCAAACCCACGCCAGCCCAGUGCAAAAUCAGUCACUGAAGAGACACCUGGCAGUUCACAAGUGCCCAUAUUCCAACCUUCAACUGCUCUGGAUGAACUGAAGCAACAGGUGGCCCAGAUUAUGGCCAAGUAUCCAAGGGGCAUAUCUCUAUUCCAGUUCCGGAUUGUCUAUAGUGCUACCUUUAAACAACAUUUUCCAGUGGGGAAUGCCUCUUCUACCAAACAACGUCUUCUCGAGAUGCCGGACACUGUUUAUAUGAAGGGUCAUGGAGUUCAGACGUUACUGUUGCCCGUAUCCCCUGACGUGUCACUUGCAAAACCAGGUCAGCCUGCCUCUUCCAAAGUUGAGAAUGUUGCAGUGGUAUGUAAUCUUUCAUUGGUCAAUCCUGAACCUGUGACUAAACCUGCUGUAAAAACCUUUGAUUCCCAUCCCGUUUCGACAUCACCUUUAAUCCCUCCUGAAAAGCCAGGAAGCAAGGAUUGCUGCAGCUCUAAGGACCUAUCCCUAAAUAUGCUUCUGGCCCCAUGCCAAGAACAAAAGAAGGCCAGAACAAGCUUGCCAGGCUUUUCGGAUCAGCUUGAUUUGUCAAAAGUAGAAGACAUUCCAGUGCUUCCUGGUCGUUCCUUGCCUAAGGAUGAAUCGUUGAUCAUUCCACAGUCUUUCCUGAUGCCUGUUGUUCCCAGGGCUGCCAUGAUGCCUGUACCUAAGUCCCCUCAUUCCUUCUUGCAAUAUUAUCAGUCCGUCAGAGUUGUAGAAAAUAAGGGGAAUAAGCCAUUCACUGAACUUCACACCCAGAGUACCCCAGGUUCCAUUAAAGUGAUGGAAAUGAACAAAUCUUGUUUGAAUGGUCCCGAUCCCAAGCUAGGAGAGAUCUCCUUCAUUCCACGUUGCUUUGCAGCUUUACCUGCAUAUUUUCAAGGCACAGAAUGUAGUGAGAAUUUGCAGCCAGGUAUUCUUAAACCCAGAUUUGCAACUCCCACUAAGUCAAAGAUUUCUGACACUGUUCCAUCAGUUGACUCAACACCAGUUCCCUCAGUUUUAGUAAAACCUGAAAUUCACCCUCCAGGAGGUGCAUCACAGAGCUCCAAUAGUAUUCAGCCUAUGCUUUCAGUACAACCACCACCUCCCAUCCUAAGUACAGCACAAAGGAAUUAUAAUCAUGCUAUUUCAGAAUUUGAUUCCUUCUCUGAAGCACAAAAACAAUCCAGAGCUUUGCAGCAUUUCUCGAGUCCUGACUCUUCUGCAAAGAGGAGUUCUGCUUCUUCAUUGCCUAGAAAUUCCGCAAGCUGCUUUCCUUCCAGAUCCCAACUAAACCACCAAUUACAACAGCCUGCCCAUGCAAGACUAGAUGAUCUGCAAUCCACUUCUGUUUCUUUAGCAGAUAAGAACCUCAGAAAAGCCUCUUUGGACAGCGUAUCUCCUGUAGCAGUGUAUCCAAGAAAACCCACUUAUGUGAAUCCUCUUGAAACCAGUUCAACCACAGAAUCAUCCAUUGCCUGUUCAGUCAGUGGAUCCUUGCACACUUCAUCUGUGAUCAAUAAUUCCAGGGCUUCGUCAUCUGUAUCCUCAAGGACAACAGCAGUAAGUCCAGCUUCUUGUCUGUUAGACUCUACUGCCAACUCAUAUGAUCAAAUUGCCUAUGCUUCUGCUAAGAUCACCAGUAAUUCCACUCCUUUGUUUUCUGAGACUCAAGCUUCCACUCAGCAGAGACAAUCUUCCAGGGCAGCUAGUACUGUAAUCUCAAACACAAAAACAACAAGCCCCACUUCCUGGUCACCAGAAUCCAACAUCUGUUCACACCAUCAGUUUGCAUAUGCUUCCAGCAGGAUCACCACUAAUUCCAGUAACCUAUCUUCUGAGACUUAUGCUUUCACAUAUCAGGGACCGAGCACACAAGCAAGCGAGACUAUAAUUUCCUCGAGUACAAAAACGGCGAGCUCCAUUUCUUCUCCUCUAGAUUCUACCACUAGCAUACCUUGCCAGCAUGCCUAUGCUUCUGCCAAGGCCACCAGUACUUCUAGUAUUUUGUCAAAGUCCAGUGCCUAUCAAACUCCAAAUACUGAUUUCAAGGCUAGUUUAAGUCAUCCUCCUCCUACUCAGAAUAAUCUCACAUCCUCACUUUCUAAACAGGGGGACCAGUCUGCCUCUUUGCAAGAAGAGCAGGUUACUCACGUCUCCAGAAUCUAUGAUGGAUGUCUCAUCCUAUAAUAGGCUAUCCUUCAAAUGGUCCAUGUGAAGACAUUUGCAUAUGGACACUUUUUUUUCCAGGAAGAGAGAUGAAGAAUAGCCUCUUCAAUGUGCUGCCUAAGGGCAUUUAGAGAUCAUCCUUGUCUAAGUUAACCUAUUUACCUAAAAACUUUAAAAUUAUGAGAAUUCUCUGAAUGUUAAAAAUAUUGUUAAUUAAAUUGUUUCAGCCAUAAAAAGAAUUAUCACCAAAUUACAUAUAGUAAGAUAGCUACCUCAAAUGACACAUAGCUUGAAGCUGCAGUACACUUAUAGCCAUUGCAGUGCCCUCUAGCUGAUUUUCUGGUUUUUUAUGUGAUGGAAGACACCAUCAACAGCAUUCAGCCAAGGUCAGCUGAUUAACUCAUUUUCUGAAUGAGGAGCAGAGGCUACGAUUCCCCCCCCCCCCCGCCUAAGGCGGGCAUAUGCCCUGGGUCGUCUUGCCCAGAAAUAUCACUGUGAGAUCUUCCUUUUAGUUGUACUGAGCUCUUUUUAAAAAAAAGACAGGGUAGAAUUGUAAUUGUCCAGGGUGGUCAGAUUCUGUGUUGGAAGCAGCUUGGUUUACUGUUGUGCAAGCAUGUAAUUAUGUAUAAUUACUUUAUACUGUUAUUCUGUUCUGAAAUCAUGGGCACAAACUGAUUCCUGAACCUUUGCCUUCUCUCUCAAUUUUUAUGAAAUGUUUGUAUUCAACACAUUUGAAACAUUAAUUCUGAACUAGUUGAUCCAACAACUUUUUUAAGUAGAUUUGCAAGAUAUUGAAUGUGUUGUCUUCCGUAUCUCCUAAUAUUUGUAAGCAGAAUGGUUGAAAAUUGUGCUUUCUGUAUCUUCCUCUGGAAGUUCUGCUGAAUUGUCUCAUGUUGUGUUUUGGUAGAAAUACAAACUUGGACUGUUAUGAUUCUGAGUUACGACUAAAGCAAAAGGUAUGCUAGAGUUCCUUUAAGAACAAAUGCACCUAGGUUGCAAUGUGUUGCUUUCUGCCCUCUUGCUUCUCCACAUAGGCUGGGUGUUUGACUGUCUUUUUUUUACUCCUUCAGUUCUCAAUGAUGUCCCAGUGCUGCAUAUGCCACUGGCUGAUCUGUCCUUCAAUCUUCCCAGUACUCUCCCAAUAGCCACCUCCCCUUUUUUCUCAUAGCCUUCUCUUUCUCUCUCUUCUUUCAAUGAGAGCAGAUUUACUUUAAAUUCUUUCUCUAAACCUAUUUCUGGCUUACUCCCAACCUUCUCCAGUUUGCAACUGCCUUUUUGUCCAUGUGCCUAUGGAGAAAGUAGUUAAUCUCUUAAGGAUAGUUACUAUUGAAGGACAAGAAUUCAGGAGAAUCCAUCUAAGCAACACUUAAUUCAAGGAACAUGCAAAUUUUUUAGCAGACAAAUAUUCCAUUUCCAGUUUAAUUUCUGUUUAGAAAAUUAAUACUUUAUGUAUUUUUUCAUUGUGUGGAUCUUUUGGCUUAUAUUUUUGUGUCAAAAUAAAAUAAUUAGAGAAA